UACGUAGGGUCCGAGCGUUGUCCGGAAUUAUUGGGCGUAAAGGGCUCGUAGGCGGUUUGUCACGUCGGGAGUGAAAUUCCACAGCCUAACUGUGGAAUUGCUUCCGAUACGGGCAGACUUGAGGCAUUCAGGGGAGAACGGAAUUCCUGGUGUAGCGGUGAAAUGCGUAGAUAUCGGGAGGAACAUCGAUGGCGAAGGCAAUCACCUGGGCCUGAACUGACACUGUGACACGAAAGCGUGGGUAGCAAACAGG
Molecule: ribosomal RNA, 253 nt
Filed under: uncultured bacterium
Lineage: Bacteria
Description: partial 16S ribosomal RNA
Rfam family: Bacterial small subunit ribosomal RNA
Source: RNAcentral